This 711-nucleotide ribosomal RNA is filed under the name Bacillus cereus. RNAcentral's name for it is "bacterial SSU rRNA". It matches the Rfam family "Bacterial small subunit ribosomal RNA", at positions 730 to 1436 of the family's 1533-position model. Lineage: Bacteria; Bacillati; Bacillota; Bacilli; Caryophanales; Bacillaceae. The record is from RNAcentral.
UGUUUUGUAAGCGACGCAUGAAGGGGGGAAUAGUGUGGGAGCCAAUCAAGGGUUUGAUUCCCUGGUAGUUCACGCCGUAAAAGAGAGAGGGUAAGUGUUAGAAGGGGUUUCGCCCUUUAGUGCUGAAAUUAAAGCAUUAAGCACUCCGCCUGGGGAGUACGGCCGCAAAGGUGGAAAUCAAAGGAAUUGGCGGGGGCCCGCACAAGGGGUGGAGCAUGUGGUUUAAUUUGAAGGAAAGGGGAGAACCUUACCAGGUUUUGACAUUCUUUGACAACCCUAGAGAUAGGGGUUUUCCUUUGGGAGCAGAGUGACAGGUGGUGCAUGGUUGUUGUCAGCUUGUGUUGUGAGAUGUUGGGUUAAGUCCCGCAACGAGCGCAACCCUUGAUUUUAGUUGCCAUCAUUUAGUUGGGCACUUUAAGGUGACUGCCGGUGACAAACCGGAGGAAGGUGGGGAUGAAGUCAAAUCAUCAUGCCCCUUAUGACCUGGGGUACACACGUGGUACAAUGGACGGUACAAAGAGGUGCAAGACCGCGAGGUGGAGGUAAUUUUAUAAAACCGUUUUCAGUUUGGAUUGUAGGGUGCAAAUUGCCUACAUGAAGGUGGAAUUGGUAGUAAUUGCGGAUCAGCAUGCCGGGGUGAAUACGUUCCCGGGCCUUGUACACACCGCCCGUCACACCACGAGAGUUUGUAACACCCGAAGUCGGUGGGGU